Non-coding RNA from Pseudomonas fluorescens HK44, 86 nucleotides. Lineage: Bacteria; Pseudomonadati; Pseudomonadota; Gammaproteobacteria; Pseudomonadales; Pseudomonadaceae. The record is from Rfam.
UGUUAUGGCGGCUGUGCGUGGGACGCCUUCGGGCGUGCCGGUUCCUAGGUUCCCGGUUUUCCAACCUGCGUACAGCCGUCACCCAU